RNAcentral lists this long non-coding RNA (12861 nucleotides) under Nicotiana tabacum (common tobacco). RNAcentral's name for it is "long non-coding RNA (NTAB_LNC011405)". The record is from RNAcentral. Lineage: Eukaryota; Viridiplantae; Streptophyta; Magnoliopsida; Solanales; Solanaceae.
UUACGUUUGAUAACAUAAUAUUUAAAUUUACAAGAAGAUCUUACAAAUACGGAUAUAAAAUACUCGGUGUCACUGAGUACAUGAGCAUCUAAAUAAUAACAUAGUCUGACUGAUAAAAUACUGUCUGAAAAUAUAGAACAGUACAAACAACUGAAUGGGAAAAAGAGUCAAGGUCUCCGGACGCCAAGCAACUGCCAUGAUAGUCUCCAACAGAUGAAACUCUGAUAUCUAGCAGUCGCCAUAUCCGCAAGUACCUGGAUCUGCACACGAGAUGCAAAGUAUAGUAUGAGUACAACCAACUCAAUAAGUAAUAAGACUAACCUUUGGGCUAAAAGUAGUGACGAGCUCAACAAGUACAAUCCAGUAUAGAAAUAACAGUACGGAAAUGUAGGCAUGCUUCCAAAUUCAACAGUUAAACUCAGUAAAAAUAAAAUAGAUAAACUCUACAUGAUGUGAGGAAUAUGACAUCUCUAUAUCUACACGCCAAAAUAUAUGACGUAUGUGAUGUACCACAAUGGAACCCUCAUGUAUUCACACUCUCAGAAUACUCAAUCACUCAUCACUAUAUAUGGCCAAUCCAGCCCAGGGAAGAUCCAUCCCAUGUAUAUAUAUACAUCAACUGACAAUCAAUCACUCAGUACUGUAUAAGGCCAAUCCAGCCCAAAUAUAUAAAUGCUUCGGGCAAGAUCCAUAUCGAGGGAAGUCCAUCCCUAAGAUAAAUAAAUAAAUAAGUAAAUAAGGCAAAUCCAUGCCCUGGGAAGUCUAUCCCAAAUAUAAACAUCAAUUGUGCUCACUGUGGGGAGUGCAGACUCCAGAGGGGCUCCUUCAGCCCAAGAGCUAUAUAAAGUCGAUAUGGCCUACUGCGGCGUGCAGUCUGAUCCCAUAAUAAUAAAGCCUAUACGGCCAGUUGUGGCGUGCAACCCCGAUCCAUAUAAUAAUAACAUAUAUAAAGCCAAUAUGGCCUGCUGCGACACGCAGCUCGAUCCCAUGAAUAUCCUCACAAUGGAUGAACAUGAUUGAGUACGAAAUGUGCAUUUUUAAAACAUUUAAUUCAAUAGCAACACAAACCUAUGGAUCCCAAAAUAUCAGCACGUAGCCUAAACAUGAUCUUUAAUACGAGCCUCGGCUCAAUUUUUCUAACAAAUGGAGGAUAUACGGAUAUUGACAUGAUUCUUUAAUUUUACAACUCCACAGAAUUUAUUUAUGUCACAAUUUCUAUGGUGAACUCCCGUCACAUAGCAUGUGUGUCAUCUUCAUACAAUUCAUACAACACGUAAUUCAGGGAUUCAUACUCUCAGAACCAAGUUUAAAAGUAUUACUUACCUCAAACCGUGUAAUUCUUUAUUCCGCUAUGCCAUUGCCUCGCGAUUCGGCCUCCGAACGCCUCGAAUCUAGUCACAAUUAAUUUGAUUCAGUCACUACAAAUUAUAGGAAUUAAUUCCAUAUGAAAAUACUAAUUUUUCAAUAAAAUCAGAAGUUUAACUAAAACUUCACCCGUGGGGCCCAUAUUUUGGAACCCGACAUAAGUUACAAAAUAUGAACGCACAUUCAACCACGAGUCCAACCAUACCAAUUUUACCAAAUUCCGACAUCAACUCGACCCUCAAAUCGUCAACUUUAACCAAGAUGGUUUUUCAAAAUUUUCCAACUUAAUUCACUAAUUAAAUGUUAAAAACAACCAUAGAUUCGAGUAAUUUCACCAAAAUUGAGUUAAGAACACCUACCCCGUUAUUUUUCUUGAAAAUCUCCCAAACAUCACCUCUUCCUGAGCUCCAAAUCGGUAAAAAUGAGAUCUUAAAUUCUCUGCCCAGGCUUUUCUUCAUCGCGAACGCGGCCAUUGCCUCGCGUUCGUGAAGCACAAAAAAUGUUCUGCCCAAAUUCCUCCUUCGCGAACGCGAGCCUGGCCUCGGGAAUGCGAUGUUUCACCAGGAUGCUCAAUCGCAAACACGUUCUCUCCACCGCGGACGCGAAGACCAAAUUCCCCCAUGUCGACUUUCCCUUUUGGUGAACACGAAGCUCCAAUCGCGAACGCGUAGCUCUACCCCUCGAACCUUCGUGAAUGCGUGCCCUCAGUCGCGAACGCGAAGCACAAAAUAGCCCAGUCCAAAAUUCAUUCUUCGCGAAUGCGUGAAUCCCUUCGCGUUUGCAAAGAACAAGACCAGAACCAGCAACAGCAGUGGCAAGACAUGGAGAAAUGAUCGGAAACCAUCCCGGAACUAACCCAAAGCCCCCGGGACCUCAACCAAGUACACCAACAAGUUCUAAAACAUCAUACGAACUUAGUCGAAUCCUCAAAUCACAUCAAACAAUGCUAAAAACACGAAUAAUACCCCAAUUCAAGCUUAAUGAAACUAAAAAAUUCCAACUUCUACAUUCGAUGCCGAAACCUAUCAAAUCAAGUCCGAUUGACCUCAAAUUUUUCACACACGUCUUAAAUGACAUAACGGAACCAGAAUUAUUUUUAGAACUGGAUUCCGACCCCGAUAUCAAAAAGUCAGCUCCCUGGUCAAACUUCCAACUUAAAUUUCUUAUUUUCGCCAUUUCAAACCUAAUUUAACUACGGACUUCAAAAAACAUUUCCGGACACGCUCCUAAAUCCAAAAUCACCAUAUAGAGCUAUUGAAAUCAUCAAAACUCUAUUUCGGGGUCGUUUACACAUAACUCAACAUUCAGUCAACUAUUUCAACUUAAAUUUUAAACUUUAGAACUAAGUAUUCCAAUUCAUUCCAAGACCUCACCGGACCCGAACCAAUUUCCCCAGUAAGUCAUAUAACAAUUGUAAAGCAUAAAUUGACUAGUAAAUUGGGGGGACGGGGCCAUAAUACUCAAAAUGACCGGCCGAGUGGUUACAUUCUCCCCCUCUUAAAUAAACGUUCAUCCUCGAAUGGGUUUAGAAUCAUACUCGGAGCCUCAAAUAGGUAUGGAUAUUUUCUCCGCAUCACUCGCUCAAUCUCAUAGGUGGCUUCUCCGACUGGCUGGCUUCUCCACUUUACUUUCACUGAAGCUAUGUUCUUUGAUCUCAACUUUCGAACCUGUCGGUCUAAAACGGCCACCGGCACCAUCUUUUAAGUUAAAUUACCAUCCAAUUGCACUGUACUAAAAUCUAAAAUAUGAGACUGAUCUCCGACAUACUACCGAAGCAUAGAUACAUGAAACACUAGAUGAACACACGAUAGAUUAGGUGACAAAGCAAGUUCAUAAGCCACAUCUCCAAUCUUCUUAAGUAUUUCAAAAGGCCCAAUAUACCUAGGAUUCAACUUUCCCUUCUUCCUAAACCUCAUAACGCCAUUCAUAGGCGAAACUCGGAGUAGUACCUUCUCUCCUACCAUUUAAGCAACAUCGCAAACCUUCCGGUUGGCAUAACUCUUUUGGCUAGAUUGCACCGUGCGAAGUCGUUCCUGAAUAAUUUAACCUUUUCCUAAGCAUCCUGAACUAGAUCAGUUCCCAAUAGCUUAGCAUCACUCGGCUCAAAUCAACCCACUGGAGACAAAUACCAUCUCCCAUAUAAAGCCUCAUACGGAGCCAACUGAAUGCUCGAUUGGUAGCUGUUAUUGUAGGAAACCUUUGCAAAUGGCAGAAACUGAUCCCAAGAACCUCCAAAAUCUACAACACAAGCGUGUAGCAUAUCUUUCAAUAUCUGAAUAGUGUGCUCGGACUAUCCGUCCGUCUAAGGGUGAAGUGUUGUACUCAAAUGAGCAUGUGUGCCUAACUCUCAUUGCACUGCUCUCCAAAACUGUGAUGUAAAUUGCGUGCCCCGAUCUGAAAUGAUGGACACUGGCACACCAUGAAGGCGAACAAUCUCGCGAAUAUAAAUCUCAGCCAACUACUUCGAAUAGUAAGUAGUCCUAACUGGAAUAAAAUGUGCGGACUUGGUCAACCGAUCCACAAUUACCCAAACAACAUUAACCUUCCUCAAAGUCCAUGGGAGUCCAACUGCGAAGUACAUAGUAAUACGCUCCCAUUUUCAUUCCGGAAUUUCAAGUCUUUGAACCAAUCCGCAUGGUCUCUAAUGUUCAUACUUCACUUGUUGAUAAUUUAAACACCGAGCUACAUACCCAACUAUAUCUUUCUUCAUUUUUCUCCACCAAUAGUGCUAUCUAAAAUCCUGGUACAUCUUAACGGCACCCAAAUGAAUGGAAUACCGCGAACUAUUGGCUUCUUCAAGAAUCAAUUCAUACAUCCCAUAUACAUUUGGCACACAAAUUCAACCUUGCAUUCUCAACACCCCAUCAUCUCCAAUAGUAACAUCUUUGGUAUCAUCGUGCUGAAUUGUGUCCUUCAGGAUAAGCAAUUAGGGAUCAUCAUACUGACGCUCUCUGAUGAGGUCAUAUAAGGAAGACUGAGAAAUCACACAAGCUAGAACCCGACUGGGCUCCGAAACAUCUAACCUUACGAUCUAAUUGUCCAAGGUUUGAUCAUCAACUAAAGAGGCCUUUCACCAACAAGAAUAAAUGCAAGGCUACCCAUACUCACCGCCUUUCUACUCAAGGCAUCGGCCACCACAUUGGCCUUCCCGGGAUGAUACAAAAUAGUAAUAUCAUAGUCUUUUAGCAGCUCCAACCAUCUCCGUUGCCUCAAAUUUAGAUCCUUCUGUUUGAAUAAGUGCUUGAGACUCCGAUGAUAUAUAAAUACCUCACAAGACAUACCAUAGAGAUAGUGCCUCCAAAUCUUCAAUACAUGAACAAUGGCAGCCAAUUCUAAAUCAUGAACAUGGUAGUUCUUUUCAUGUGUCUUCAACUUACUCAAAUUAUAAGCAAUCACUCUUGUCACGGCCCAAACCGAUGGACCAUGACGAGUGCUUGAGCCUACCUGUUGAACACUCCUAAGCAUACGUCUAAGAUAAAACAUGAAAUAACUAUAGGAAAUGCAUAACGUCUAACAGUAAACUACUGAAUUGUGUGAAUAACAUAAGUGAGAAAAUGUGCCCAACAGAAAUAUGUACAUAUAUAUACGGAAUACGGUAGGGAGAGCCGACAAGGCCACAUACUAUCCAACUGUAGAUGACUGUGUACAAACCUCUAAUAGAGUGUAAAACUGUAUAAAGGACGGGACUGGGCCUCAUCAUAUCCUUAUUAAUUUACAAACGUAUCGUACCACAACCCAAUAGCAGCUCCAGAUCAAAUGGAGCACACCAACUCUCGCUGAGCUAAGAUCCUAAAGAGGGGGAUCGUCAGCUUGUCUACCUGCACCUACGGGCAUGAAACACAGCCCCCCAGGCAAUAAGGGAAUUAGUAUGAAUAAUGUACCGAGUAUGUAAGGCAUAAAAAUCAAUAUAUAAAAGGCAUGAAAGAAACAUGGAGUAAUGAACUCAACCUGUAAGUCUCAAUAGUUAUGUGAAUCAUGAAAAUAUUUAUAAUGUCAUGCGUAUGCAUAUAAAUAUCAUAUCAUGCAUAUGUAUAUGUCUACAUAACAUCAUCAAGACUCUUAGGGUAUCCUAUCAUAUCAUCUCAGCAUCUGUGGGCAAAAUUAUGAACGUAUACCAGCUGAUGAGGUGGUGGUGCGUAUAUAAUGCCAUAACCUUUCCCCCAUACCCCAUAUACAUAUAUUAUUCACGUAUAUAAUGCCAUCUGGUCAUGGAUAAAUAUACAUGUAUAAAUGAAUGCAAUGCAUAAUGAAAUAAGUCAAUAAGAUCUCUCAGAAUAUGUUGAGACCCAUGAACAGACGAUAUGAUAGUAGGACAUAUGGGGAAUCAAGAACACAGGUAACCCUAGUACUUCUAGGAAUAGAAUCAUUCGUGAAAGUGAUGUGCUUGCUCAUUUCGUUGUAUCAUAUGGAUCAUGACAAAAGGAAAGAAGGGAUAGCCUUAACAUACCUGUAUGAUCUCUUCCUUAUUAGUCAACCAAGCUCAACACAACUUCUUGCAUCUACAACAAGUGAAAUGAUAUUGUCGUUAACAUAUAAUGUCGUACCAUCGUAUUUGGCUAGUCGUAUGGCUUAAGGAAAAUCGGGCAGCAAUUCCCUUAUUUUUAAUACAUCUUAAAAACCACUAAGGUCAUCAACAGCCCAACAACAACAACUAUAACCAACAAUAGAAACAACAAUAAUAUAAUCCAAUAUGAGUUCUUUCGAUUAUCUUAACAAUCAUAUUGAGAGGCAAACUUGUUUUUACUCAUAACAAGAUAUAAAUUGAAUCUAACUUUUAUUCCAUAAAUUAGUUUACAAACUUCGGAAGAUCAUACCUAUAUGUACUAUAUUAUUUCUAGUUCAAAACAUCCACAAAAUGCCUUCCAAAACAGCCCCAAAUAUCUAGCACCUUAAUUUGUAUCGUCAAUCACUUGUUUUUCAUAUUUUCUUCUUCAAUCAACUUAAUUAACCCCUAGAAAAGCUUAACAAUAGCAGCCACAACAUUAUCAAAUUAUUUCUCAUAAUUUCCAGCCACCACAAACCAUAUAUUUAGCCACAAAACAGUCUAACACAAAAGACAACCAUAUCCCAUGUUCUUGCAAGUGCUAUCUUAUGGUUUUUCACCCAAACAACACAACCAACACAAGAUUAACCUUAAGCACAAUCAAGAAGAUGUUAUACAUACCUUGAACAGAAGAUACAACUCGAAACCCUAUCUCAACUUAGCUCACAAUAUCCCUCAAUCACACCACAAUAUCAUAAAAGGUAUGGCAUGUGGGACAACACUAUCAUUGUACGGCUGCUCAACGAACAGACCGACAUCUCUCUUCGACAAUAACUUGGGAGCACCCUGUAUUGUAUCGACCCUUUCCUGGUGCUCUUUAAUUUGGUCCCGAAGUGCCUUGUUCUCAUUUUUUAUUUCCUCCAUCCUUUUCAGAAUGGUUGUGAGAGCGUCAAUGCCUGUAUGGUUAACAAUAUUAUGAGUGAUACCUGCCGUCGCGGGUAGGGAGGGAAGUUGAUCAUGUUGCUCGUUCACUAUUGGUGUGGUACAUGUUCUCGUAUUUAUUGCGGCCACAUCCUGAACAGGCUUAUGGAGGAUGUUGGUCAGUGUAUCAGUUAGCGAGGCCUCAAGGAAAUUCUUUAUCGCUGGCGGUGCCUCCUCUCCCACGGAUGUGGAGGCUCUCUUGCCAAAGGAUUUUGUGAUGCUGCAAUGGGGAGGGGGUGAUCCACCUCGCCUAGGAGAGGCAUUGGGUGUUGUGUCUUCGUCCACUACUUCUGAGCUCUCAUGGAUGAUGUCUAUGAGGUUGGUUGGGAGUUCACUUAUAAUUCUCGACCUUUCUUCUAUGUUACCUGCCAUGUUAGAUCUAUGCAAGCAGAGAGAAAAAAAUGUGUUUUUUUUACGUCAGCAACCAGUGUCGGUUAUAGAUCCAGAAGGAACUAAAAACUUAGCUAGAAAAUCCCCACAGAAGGUGCCAAAUUGUUUGACCAAAAAAUAUAAUUUUCGGUAAAACUAUUAAAUUUAUAUAAUGAAGGGCUAAAUCUAGUUAAGGAUAAUAACUCUAGAUGUUGAACACAAGGAGGCACGGUAGAUGAGACAGAUUCCGUAUAUGGUUGAUGACAAUAAAUAUAAAAAUACUCUUACAACAAAAACAUUAAGUGAGAUAUAUCUAGCAAUAAAUGUCAGUAAAUGGCAUUUAUGUUAAUAAAGAGAAUCAUCUACCCAAUAAUGAAUGGACAUGACGAAUAUUCUGCCAGAAAACGGUGUAUGACGGAUAUAUCCAAGAUUUGUAUGAACAGUAUUUAACAAAUUUGAUGAUGAUUUGAGUUGAUUCCCCUUGAGUUUGGUUCUUGGUAUCUUGGGAUAUGUUAGGGAGGGUUUUGGAGAGAUUUUGGACGAAAUUUGGGUCAUAAAUGACCCUAAAUGAGGCUAAAACAUCUUUUAAAAGACGUAGGGUCCGUGGCCAUCUCAAGUGGGUCCCAACUAAGCUGGUUGCGCAGUCUUGCGAAAACGCGAAUAUCUCUCUACUCCCACGUCGUACCAACUAACGGUUUAAUGCUUUGGAAACUACACUCGUAGAUCUUCAAAAAGCUAUAUUACAAGGCAAAUCCUUAGUCGGUUUUUUCGCAACUUUAAUUUGAUUUUUUUCCAAACUUAAUAUUUUCAUCCAAACAUCAAAGAUAGCCAUAUUAUGACUUUAAAAUCAUUUAAUUCAUUAUUAACAAGUCUCAUAUUCAUUACGUCACCUUGGGAUGCAUAGGGUGUAACAAUCUUCCCCCCUUAGAAACAUUAGUCCUCGAAUGUUAAACUCCCAGAAAUCUAUAUAAAUUUUGGCAGAGUCUCAUCUGUAACGGUACUACUACCAACCUGUCACACAACAAACCCAACAACACAAAUCCACAUAGGUCCUCAACUAUCAAUACACCAAUGGCCUCACACGACCAAUAACAAUAACUAACAUAAGAAUCAAGUAUCAUAAACGUACCUAAAGGUUGUGAUGUCUCAGUCCGAUCCUCCUCCGGAAGCGGAAACAAGUGAGGAUACCUAGUCUUAAUUUCUUCUUGAUCUUUCCAAGUCAUCUCCUUCACAUUAUUGUUUCACCAAAGUACUUUAACCGAAUCUACAUCCUUAGUUCUCAAUCUAUGAACUUGUUUAUCUAGUAUAGCAAUGGGAGAUUCCUCAUAUGAUAGCUGCUCUAUAACCUGAACAUCGUCGACUGAAAUGACUUUAGAGGGAUCUCCAAUACACUUACGGAGCAUAGACACAUGAAAGACUAGAUGUACAAACUCCAAGUUGGAAGGCAAGUCUAACUCAUAUGCUACUUGGCCUACUCUGCAUAUAAUCUUAUAAGGUCCAAUGCACCGAGGGCUAAGCUUUCCUUUCUUACUGAAUCUCAUAACGCCUUUCAUUGAUGAUAUCUUUUGGAAUACCUAGUCGUCUACCUGAAACUCCAAGUCUCGUCGUCGAUUAUCUGCUUAGGACUUCUGACGACUCGGAGCUGCUAAUAGUCUUUCCCUUAUUAGCUUAAUCUUCUCAACUGCCUGUUGCACUAACUCUGGUCCUAAUAACUUAGUUUCCCCAAUCUCGAACCAUCCGAUAGGAGACCUACACUUUUGUUCGUAAAGAGGUUCGUAUGGAGCCAUCUGAUUGCUGGAAUGAUAACUAUUAUUAUAUACGAACUCAAUAAGUGGAAGAUGAUCCUCCCAGCUACCCCUGAAAUCCAUCACACAAGCCCAUAGCAUAUCCGCUAGUGUCUGAAUAGUACGCUCAGCUUGACCGUCUGUCUGGGAUGAAAUGUUGUACUAAGACCUACCUGAGUCCCCAAUCCUUUUGUAAGGACCUUCAGAAAUUAGUUGUAAACUGAUCACCUCUAUCUGAGAUAAUAUAUAUAGGGAUACCAUGGAGUCGUACUAUCUCCUUAAUGUAAAGCCUUGCACAAUCCUCUACUGAAUACGUAGUCCUGAUAGUUAAAAAAUGGGCUGAUUUUGUAAGUCUAUCAACAAUAACCCAUAUAGAAUCAAACUUACGCUGGGUACAAGGUAAGCCUAUGAUGAAAUCCAUAUUAAUCACUUCCCAUUUCCAAGUCGGAAUCUCUAUAGACCGCAAUAAUUUAUCUGGUUUUUGAUGCUCAAUCUUAAUAUGCUGACAAUUAAGGCACUGAGAAACAAACUCUACUAUAUCCUUCUUCAUUCUGUCCCACCAGUAUAUUCCACUGAUAUCAUGAUACAUCUUCGUCGCUCCUGGAUGAAUAAAAUAACGAGAAUAGUGAGCUUCUCCCAUAACCUGCUGGCGCAACCCUGCCCCAUUAGGAACACAUAAUCGACCUUGAUAUAUGAGGACUCCAUCUCCUGUAAUCUCAAAUGGUGUCUUCUCCUUUGAGGGGUUGUAUCUCUGUAGUGAACUAAUAUAUUAUCUUCAUACUGGCGUUCCUUCACUUCAGUUACUAGAGAUAAUGUCGUCGUGUCCUAAAUAGUAACUCUGGUAUCACUUGAGUCCAGUAAUCGAACUCCAAGAUUAGCUAGCCGAUGCAUCUCACGAGCUAUAUCACUAUUCUCUGGCUGUAAAUAUGAAAGGCUACCCAUAGAUCUACGGCUGAGGGCGUCGGCUACUACAUUCGCCUUCCCUGGAUGGUAUACAAUAUCAACAUCAUAGUCUUUCAGUAGAUCCAACCAUCGCCUCUAACGUAAAUUCAAUUCCUUUUGCUUGAAUAUAUACUGAAAGCUCUUAUGGUCAAUAUAGAUAUCAAUAUGAAUGCCAUACGAAUAGUGCAUCCACAUCUUUAGUGCAUGAAUCACCACGGCUAACUCUAAAUUGUCGGUCGGGUAAUUCUUCUCGUGGUUUAUUAGUUGUCUAGAUGUGUAAACGACAACCUUAAUAUGCUACAUCAAUGCAUAACUAAAUCCAAUGCCCGAAGCGUCACAAUAGAUAGCAUAACCUCCGGUCCCUUCUUGAAGUGUCAGAACCGGUGUUGUAGUCAAUAUGUCCUUCAAUGCCUAGAAAUUCCGAUCACAAGCAUUAGUCCACUUUAGUUUCCUUUUGAGUCAACUUUGUCAAUGGUGCUGAAAGAAAAAAAAAUCCUCUACAAAUCUUUUGUAAUAACCUGCCAAACCCAGGAAGCUACGAACCUCCGUCGGUGUCGUGGGUCUAGGCCAAGUCUUCACUGCCUCAAUCUGCUGUGUAUCAACCCGUAUACCCUCACCUAAAAUAAUAUGACCAAGGAAGGCUACAAAAUUCAACCAGAAUUAACAUUUAGAGAAUUUUGCAUACAAUUUACUUUCUUGUAGAACUCUGAGUACAGAACGUAAAUGAUCUGCAUGCUCAGCCUCUAAACGGGAGUGAACAUCACCGAACGAAUUCAAGUCCAUGAAUAUUGUUGGGGCAUUGGUCAACCCGAACGACAUAACUCGAAACUCAAAGUUCCCGUAUUUGGUCCUGAAUAUUGUCUUCGGAAUAUCUUUCUUUCUAAUCCUUACCUGAUAGUACCCAGACCUCAAGUCUAUCUUCGACAAACACCUGGUGUCACACCUCCUUUUUUCUGUAGGGGAAGGGGAGUUUUAUUCAGUUUAAGUGAUAUUAUUCGAAAUGGGAUUAUUAUUUUAAUCAGAGUCGCCACUUGGGAUAGUUUAUGGUGUCCCAAGCCACCGAUUUAUUUCUAGAAUCCCAAAUCGAGGAAAGCAUGACUCUGUUAAAAAUGUGCGAAAACCAGAAGACCGGGUAAGAAAUUUUGUUAACCCUGGAGAAGGUGUUAGUCAUUCCCGGGUUCCGUGGUUUUAGCACGGUCGCUUAACUAUUAUUAAUUUGCCUAAUUAUCUGAUUUAUUAUAUUUUUAAAGCCUAUUGUGCAUUUUUACUUUUCAACCGCUUUUAAUUAUUUAUGGAUUUAUUUUUGGAACAAGUCACGAUGUCGUACACUUGUCGUUUUGGCGCACGUCGCAAACCGCGCCACAUGAAAUGCACCCGCGAGUUACGGCAUACUUAUUUUAUUAUUGUUUGAAGUUAUAGUCGAGUCACAUGAAAUGCAUACCCGAAAUGGGAUUUACGUAUCGUGACCAUGCCACAAGAACCGUACCCAUAGCCACGAUGAUUUAUCAAUCGCUCCUAAAACGAGCUGCGAUGUUCAUUUCUUAAAGUAUGCGGUUUGAAAUUUUCGUAAGGCCCGUCGCUAUGGUUAUUAGAUGGAUUGGCAAUAAGAAUAUUCAGUACAUUGUUCGAAACUAAAGCAAUCAAGCUAAAAGGCAUUCUGCUUUUGAUAGAUUCAUGUAAAUUGGUCUCUUUUUCCUUAGCCAAGGAAAAUGCACCAUUCGAUUUUACUCCACAGAACUCUCACUAUAAUCAUAAACGGCCCAUGACCAUUGUGGCUUUUAGCUCAAGAAUGAACAAAGUCUAAAGUGAGAGGUUGACAAAUUAAACGAAAAUAAAGACAAUAUAACGAAAGCAGUAUAUGUAUACUCUUGUGCUUAUCUCAAUCAGACCCAAACAAAAUUCAUAUAGGCUCAUCAACAAAAGCUAAUAAAUCUCUUACUCCACUUAUGAGCAGGAUCAUGGUUUUAUCAAUAAAAUAUAACAUGUUAGUUUUCAAGACUAAACUGGACCUGUAUCACGUCAUUACUUCACAGAAUUCAAAAGUUUAACCCAAAUGAUGUAACUGCUUAACAUGGAAACCAACCAGCUAAAGAGCUAAAAUAUCGUAUUAAAAUUGAACUCAUGAAUCAGUUACUUCAAUCAUACAACAUUUAAAUUCCAACAUUAACAAACAAGAUUGAAGAAAAAUACUAAAAAAGAUUUAAUACCGAGAAGAUAGGAAACAAUCAGACCUUUUGUAUUUAAUAAGAAUAUCCGAGUCAAAUCUCUAAUAAACCAGCUAUGAGAUUGAACCAAAAUCCAAAAUUGAUGACGGAACUUGAAAAGAAAAAUGACCUGGACCGCGACCGAAAAAACCUCAGCUCAACUAAAUCUCCAUCUCAAAACAAAACCCAUAAGCGAGAAACAGCAUUUUUUUUCGGAAUGCAAGAAAAAGAUCAAAACUAAACUGAAAUUUUCUCUCUCCCUUUUGUAUCAGUGAAACCAAAAACAAAAUAGAAGAAACUCAGUGAUUUAAAAUAACCUCUCUCAAAUUUUGUCCUAAAUGUUUUUACCUGAAAAUUUGUCUCUGAUUUUCUUCUCCUUUUCUUCCUCAAGACCUUAGAUAUAUAUAGCCAUGCCCUCCUUCCAAAUCCGAAAAUCCUCAACUCUUUGUGUGGACAAUUUUGGGACAAACGGAGGGCAUGGAUCGAUUGUCAAUUAAUCUAUGGCUCCCAUUAAUCUAAAAAUCACCUCAAAAAUAAUCUAGCGGGCAAAAAUCCGGAAGGAAUAAUUCUAUUGUCAGAGUUAGUUACGCUACGUGGCAAGAGGAGAGAGGAGGGAACACGUAAGGGGAGUGGGUUGAUUUUUCUGGUGGGUUUGGGGGGUAGUUUGGCAGCAGAGAAGCGGAGAAGGGGUGGGGGCGCCGUUGGAGAUGAAGGAUUAGGUUUUGGUUUUUUU